UACGCAGGGGGCUAGCGUUGCUCGGAAUCACUGGGCGUAAAGCGCACGUAGGCGGAUCUUUAAGUCAGGGGUGAAAUCCCGGAGCUCAACUCCGGAACUGCCUUUGAUACUGAGGGUCUCGAGUUCGGGAGAGGUGAGUGGAACUGCGAGUGUAGAGGUGAAAUUCGUAGAUAUUCGCAAGAACACCAGUGGCGAAGGCGGCUCACUGGCCCGGUACUGACGCUGAGGUGCGAAAGCGUGGGGAGCAAACAGG
RNAcentral lists this ribosomal RNA (253 nucleotides) under uncultured bacterium. RNAcentral describes it as "partial 16S ribosomal RNA". It matches the Rfam family "Bacterial small subunit ribosomal RNA", at positions 524 to 776 of the family's 1533-position model. The record is from RNAcentral.